RNAcentral lists this ribosomal RNA (870 nucleotides) under Sutcliffiella halmapala. Its description in RNAcentral is "bacterial SSU rRNA". It matches the Rfam family "Bacterial small subunit ribosomal RNA", at positions 59 to 917 of the family's 1533-position model. Lineage: Bacteria; Bacillati; Bacillota; Bacilli; Caryophanales; Bacillaceae. The record is from RNAcentral.
AAGUCGAGCGGACUGAUUAAAAGCUUGCUUUUAUGAAGUCAGCGGCGGACGGGUGAGUAACACGUGGGCAACCUGCCUGUAAGACUGGGAUAACUUCGGGAAACCGGAGCUAAUACCGGAUAACACAAGGAACCUCCUGGUUCCAUGUUGAAAGAUGGUUUCGGCUAUCACUUACAGAUGGGCCCGCGGCGCAUUAGCUAGUUGGUGAGGUAACGGCUCACCAAGGCGACGAUGCGUAGCCGACCUGAGAGGGUGAUCGGCCACACUGGGACUGAGACACGGCCCAGACUCCUACGGGAGGCAGCAGUAGGGAAUCUUCCACAAUGGACGAAAGUCUGAUGGAGCAACGCCGCGUGAGCGAUGAAGGCCUUCGGGUCGUAAAGCUCUGUUGUUAGGGAAGAACAAGUGCGAGAGUAACUGCUCGCACCUUGACGGUACCUAACCAGAAAGCCACGGCUAACUACGUGCCAGCAGCCGCGGUAAUACGUAGGUGGCAAGCGUUGUCCGGAAUUAUUGGGCGUAAAGCGCGCGCAGGCGGUUUCUUAAGUCUGAUGUGAAAGCCCACGGCUCAACCGUGGAGGGUCAUUGGAAACUGGGGAACUUGAGUGCAGAAGAGGGAGAGUGGAAUUCCACGUGUAGCGGUGAAAUGCGUAGAGAUUGUGGAGGAACACCAGUGGCGAAGGCGACUCUCUGGUCUGUAACUGACGCUGAGGCGCGAAAGCGUGGGGAGCAAACAGGAUUAGAUACCCUGGUAGUCCACGCCGUAACGAUGAGUGCUAGUGUUAGAGGGUUUCCGCCCUUUAGUGCUGCAGCUAACGCAUUAGCACUCGCUGGGGAGUACGGUCGCAGACUGAACUCAAAGAUGACGGG